UUGAUAUUGGAAAAAAAACAUACAUGAUCACCAUCACUUAAUCAUGAAUAGUCAACAUAAAGUACAACUUUCUUUUUCUUGAAUUACAUACCUAACCUAUAUUUAUCUCACCCAUUUUCAAAAUUCCUUUUCACUCUGCAAAUCUGCAUUGCCAUGAAUCCAUAAUCUGUCAUUUGCUUCUUCACCUCCUCUAAAAUCCAUUUAAAAUUGUUAAAAAUCCAAAAAUAUUUCGUGGUAUAGGAAAAAGGAGAGAAAGGAACAAUAUAUAAAAUAAAUUCAGUAGAAAAAAUUGGAAAUUAUGCCUGGCUCCAUCCUGUUUGCCAUCAAUUACGCAAAAAAUAAGAAAAAGGGGCUUUUACAAGAAGUAGACACUACUACAUUGUGCAAUCUCAAAAUGCCUUUGAAUUUACCAGUUUCUUGAAAAGGGCAACUUCUUCAUUCAACAACAGAACCCUCCUGCUCCUAAUGCCACCAUUGUUAAAGUUGGUUUUAGACUCAGAAACAGCCAUUGCCCCUGACUGUGUUCAGUUUCUUUUUAUCUUUUUCAUCAAUGCUACUUGUGGUAUAAAAAUCUUGGAGUCUUCCUUUUCCUUUGUGGAAUUGCAAAGAGAGAAGAUCGAGGAAUUUGGAGGAAACUUUUUAUUGGUUUUGAUUUUCGAAAGGACAUGGGAAUGUAAAAAUGGGAUUGUGGGUUUGCGGGUUUGCAUUUUAUUGGGAUUGGAAAGUUGGGGGGUGGGGGUGCUUGGCCGUUG
RNAcentral lists this long non-coding RNA (752 nucleotides) under Olea europaea subsp. europaea. The record is from RNAcentral. Lineage: Eukaryota; Viridiplantae; Streptophyta; Magnoliopsida; Lamiales; Oleaceae.